Molecule: unclassified non-coding RNA, 463 nt
Filed under: Hevea brasiliensis (rubber tree)
Lineage: Eukaryota; Viridiplantae; Streptophyta; Magnoliopsida; Malpighiales; Euphorbiaceae
Source: RNAcentral
GGAAGAAGGAAAUUUUGCAAUUUUACAAAAGUAUUCUCAACCAGUAUUUGAACAUUGAAACAUAAGUUACAUGAAGAGAAUAAUUUACAUGCAUUGGUUUUGUAUACUUUCAGUAAUAAUAAUUGAAUUAAAUUCUUGAUGGAAUAAGUGGAGUUGAAUUUUGCAGAAAAGCACUAGCAGCUGCAACUCCACUACCAAACUUCACUGGAUAACCAAUAUCCUUAAGUACCAUUUCAACUCCAGCAAGACAUCCCAAUAGUUGCAACUCAUUCAAGUUUCCAAGAUGUCCUAUUCUGAAAACUUUUCCUGCAACUUUGUUUAGGCCGAGACCUAAGCUUAAGUUGUAUCGCUUCCAUGCCCUUUUCACGAUUUCAGAACUUUCAAUGUGUGGAGGAACAACAACGGCUGUGACUGUAUCACUGAACCAUUCCUCCUUCUGAGUGCAGUUCUUCAAGCCCCAUGC